This 409-nucleotide ribosomal RNA is filed under the name Arenibacter sp. Its description in RNAcentral is "bacterial SSU rRNA". It matches the Rfam family "Bacterial small subunit ribosomal RNA", at positions 505 to 916 of the family's 1533-position model. The record is from RNAcentral. Lineage: Bacteria; Pseudomonadati; Bacteroidota; Flavobacteriia; Flavobacteriales; Flavobacteriaceae.
GUGCCAGCAGCCGCGGUAAUACGGAGGAUCCGAGCGUUAUCCGGAAUCAUUGGGUUUAAAGGGUCCGUAGGCGGGCCAUUAAGUCAGGGGUGAAAGUCUGCGGCUCAACCGUAGAAUUGCCCUUGAUACUGGUGGUCUUGAGUUAUGGUGAAGUAACUAGAAUAUGUAGUGUAGCGGUGAAAUGCAUAGAUAUUACAUAGAAUACCGAUUGCGAAGGCAGGUUACUAACCAUAUACUGACGCUGAUGGACGAAAGCGUGGGGAGCGAACAGGAUUAGAUACCCUGGUAGUCCACGCCGUAAACGAUGGAUACUAGCUGUCCGGAUGCAAAUCUGGGCGGCCAAGCGAAAGUGAUAAGUAUCCCACCUGGGGAGUACGUCCGCAAGGAUGAAACUCAAAGGAAUUGACGG